GGGCCCGCACAAGCGGUGGAGCAUGUGGUUUAAUUCGAUGCAACGCGAAGAACCUUACCAGGGUUUGACAUCCUGCGAAUCUCUUGGAAACAGGAGAGUGCCUUCGGGAACGCAGUGACAGGUGGUGCAUGGCUGUCGUCAGCUCGUGUCGUGAGAUGUUGGGUUAAGUCCCGCAACGAGCGCAACCCACGUCUUUAGUUGCCAGCAUUUAGUUGGGCACUCUAGAGAGACUGCCGGUGAUAAACCGGAGGAAGGUGUGGAUGACGUCAAGUCAUCAUGCCCCUUACAUCCUGGGCUACACACGUACUACAAUGCUACGGACAAAGAGCAGCAAGUUCGCGAGGACAAGCAAAUCUCAUAAACCGUGGCUCAGUUCAGAUCGUAGGCUGCAACUCGCCUACGUGAAGGAGGAAUCGCUAGUAAUCG
RNAcentral lists this ribosomal RNA (426 nucleotides) under uncultured bacterium. RNAcentral describes it as "bacterial SSU rRNA". It matches the Rfam family "Bacterial small subunit ribosomal RNA", at positions 917 to 1344 of the family's 1533-position model. The record is from RNAcentral.